CCAAUAGCGUAUAUUAAAGUUGUUGUGGUUAAAAAGCUCGUAGUUGAACCUUGGGCCUGGCUGGCCGGUCCGCCUCACCGCGUGUACUGGUCCGGCCGGGCCUUUCCCUCUGUGGAACCUCAUGCCCUUCACUGGGUGUGACGGGGAAGCAGGACUUUUACUGUGAAAAAAUUAGAGUGCUCCAAGCAGGCCUAUGCUCGAAUACAUUAGCAUGGAAUAAUAAAAUAGGACGUGCGGUUCUAUUUUGUUGGUUUCUAGGACCGCCGUAAUGAUUAAUAGGGCCAGUCGGGGGCAUCAGUAUUCAAUUGUCAGAGGUGAAAUUCUUGGAUUUAUUGAAGACUAACUACUGCGAAAGCAUUCGCCAAGGAUGUUUUCAUUAAUCAGUGAACGAAAGUUAGGGGAUCGAAGACGAUCAGAUACCGUCGUAGUCUUAACCAUAAACUAUGCCGACUAGGGAUCGGAUGAUGUUAAUUUUUUAAUGACUCAUUCGGCGCCUUAC
Molecule: unclassified non-coding RNA, 499 nt
Filed under: uncultured Paraglomus
Lineage: Eukaryota; Fungi; Glomeromycota; Glomeromycetes; Paraglomerales; Paraglomeraceae
Description: SSU rRNA
Rfam family: Eukaryotic small subunit ribosomal RNA
Source: RNAcentral